This 406-nucleotide ribosomal RNA is filed under the name uncultured bacterium. Its description in RNAcentral is "partial 16S ribosomal RNA". It matches the Rfam family "Bacterial small subunit ribosomal RNA", at positions 30 to 526 of the family's 1533-position model. The record is from RNAcentral.
AUUGAACGCUGGCGGCAGGCUUAACACAUGCAAGUCGAGCGAGAGGCGGACGGGUGAGUAAUGUCUGGGAAACUGCCUGAUGGAGGGGGAUAACUACUGGAAACGGUAGCUAAUACCGCAUACCAUCAGAUGUGCCCAUAUGGGAGUAGCUAGUAGGUGGGGUAAUGGCUCACUUAGGCGACGAUCCCUAGCUGGUCUGAGAGGAUGACCAGCCACACUGGAACUGAGACACGGUCCAGACUCCUACGGGAGGCAGCAGUGGGGAAUCUUGGGCAAUGGACGCAAGCCUGAUGCAGCCAUGCCGCGUGUGUGAAGAAGGCCUUCGGGUUGUAAAGCACUUUCAGCGGGGAAGCGUUACUCACAGAGGAAGCACCGGCUAACUCCGUGCCAGCAGCCGCGGUAAUUC